This 412-nucleotide ribosomal RNA is filed under the name bacterium enrichment culture clone ALO1_GLFRUDD03GQPXX. RNAcentral's name for it is "bacterial SSU rRNA". It matches the Rfam family "Bacterial small subunit ribosomal RNA", at positions 9 to 420 of the family's 1533-position model. The record is from RNAcentral.
GAGUUUGAUCGUGGCUCAGAUUGAACGCUGGCGGCAUGCCUUACACAUGCAAGUCGAACGGCAGCACGGGAGCUUGCUCCUGGUGGCGAGUGGCGAACGGGUGAGUAAUGCAUCGGAACGUAUCCUGGAGUGGGGGAUAACGUAGCGAAAGUUACGCUAAUACCGCAUAUUCUGUGAGCAGGAAAGCGGGGGACCUUCGGGCCUCGCGCUCUUGGAGCGGCCGAUGUCGGAUUAGCUAGUUGGUGAGGUAAAGGCUCACCAAGGCGACGAUCCGUAGCAGGUCUGAGAGGAUGAUCUGCCACACUGGAACUGAGACACGGUCCAGACUCCUACGGGAGGCAGCAGUCGGGGAAUUUUGGACAAUGGGGGCAACCCUGAUCCAGCCAUGCCGCGUGAGUGAAGAAGGCCUCGG